AAAAAAAAUUAGAUGGGCAUGGAUUAUAGGAAGUCGUAAUGGUGAAGACAGAAUUGCUCCACUGCUUGUGUUGAGCUCCUCUAUCAAAAAA
Molecule: non-coding RNA, 91 nt
Organism: Arachis ipaensis
Lineage: Eukaryota; Viridiplantae; Streptophyta; Magnoliopsida; Fabales; Fabaceae
Source: RefSeq, a predicted model, not a curated record